GACGAACGCUGGCGGCGUGCUUAACACAUGCAAGUCGAACGGAAAGGCCCUGCUUUUGUGGGGUGCUCGAGUGGCGAACGGGUGAGUAACACGUGAGUAACCUGCCCUGGACUUUGGGAUAACUUCAGGAAACUGGGGCUAAUACCGGAUAGGAGCUCCUGCUGCAUGGUGGGGGUUGGAAAGUUUCGGCGGUUGGGGAUGGACGCGCGGCUUAUCAGCUUGUUGGUGGGGUAGUGGCUUACCAAGGCUUUGACGGGUAGCCGGCCUGGGAGGGUGACCGGCCACAUUGGGACUGAGAUACGGCCCAGACUCCUACGGGAGGCAGCAGUGGGGAAUAUUGCACAAUGGGCGGAAGCCUGAUGCAGCAACGCCGCGUGCGGGAUGACGGCCUUCGGGUUGUAAACCGCUUUCGCCUGUGACGAAGCGUGAGUGACGGUAAUGGGUAAAGAAGCACCGGCUAACUACGUG
RNAcentral lists this ribosomal RNA (468 nucleotides) under uncultured bacterium. RNAcentral's name for it is "partial 16S ribosomal RNA". It matches the Rfam family "Bacterial small subunit ribosomal RNA", at positions 28 to 507 of the family's 1533-position model. The record is from RNAcentral.